GGGCUAGUCAAGGUUUCGACAGGGGUCUUGCAGCUGGAGAAGCUAUCCGCAGGUGGUGCGUCAAACCACAAACCUAAAUAUAAACGCUGAAGAUAAUUUAGCAUACGCUGCCUAAGGGCGGCUGUCUGACUUAAGGCACUCACACUUUAAGACCCAGGCAUCGACUAUGUGAGAAACGAUGCAGGUUAAGCUUUGCCCCUGCAGGCGUAUCAUGAAGCUACCGGACUUUUCAGAGUGUCUGCUCUCUGAAUUGCGAGGGAACAGUACGGAGUAAGACCGUACACAAUGAACAGACUAUGAUAGUAGAAGGACAGGGAAUGGGCUUUUGGACACGGGUUCGACUCCCGUCUAGUCCACUC
RNAcentral lists this small RNA (359 nucleotides) under Eubacteriales bacterium. Its description in RNAcentral is "transfer-messenger RNA". It matches the Rfam family "transfer-messenger RNA". Rfam says of the family: Bacterial tmRNA, also known as 10Sa RNA or SsrA, is named for its dual tRNA and mRNA-like properties. Its role is to liberate the mRNA from a stalled ribosome. Lineage: Bacteria; Bacillati; Bacillota; Clostridia; Eubacteriales. The record is from RNAcentral.